This 457-nucleotide long non-coding RNA is filed under the name Anas platyrhynchos platyrhynchos (common mallard). RNAcentral's name for it is "lncRNA (ENSAPLG00000029092.1)". The record is from RNAcentral. Lineage: Eukaryota; Metazoa; Chordata; Aves; Anseriformes; Anatidae.
CCAGGAUUUAGUGUCCGGGCUGUUUUUUUUUCAGCCGAUUUGCACAGCUACAGGAUUAUGCUCCAUGUAGAAGAUACCAAAUCAUUGAUCUUGCUUCUCUUCCUGAAUGCUGAUGGCAAUGGGUAUUGAAUGCAAGAGGAAAAAAAAAACCGUGAUGCUUGUGCAUGCAAAUGCUUCUCCAAGUGGGCUUCUAGAAAACAUUUUGAAGUUUUUCCUGGAAGAACAGCUUUAUCAAGUAGCAGCACAUCCAGUAGAAAAGAGAAGGCCCUUUGGACACAUGAUGACUGCAGCAGGGAUGAUUGUAAAGAGAAGCUAUACCUGCAGUUUUACCAACAGAUGCAGCAAGAAUAUGAUGGAGAGAGACCUGACUGUGUCAUUGUUGCCAUCAGCAAGGAGCAAAAGUAGUUUCUGUUACAAUCUUUCAGCUAAUUCUGUUACAGAAACGAUAGCUACAUAG